AAUCCAUGGUGAGGGCAGUCACGUUCAUACUCUUUAAAACGCUCUCGGGCUUCAUAAAAAGGUUCAGCCGGUGAAAACUUGAGAUCUUGGUUCUUAGUAA
Molecule: small nucleolar RNA, 100 nt
Filed under: Eutrema salsugineum
Lineage: Eukaryota; Viridiplantae; Streptophyta; Magnoliopsida; Brassicales; Brassicaceae
Description: Plant small nucleolar RNA R71
Rfam family: Plant small nucleolar RNA R71
About the family: R71 is a member of the C/D box family of snoRNAs containing the C (UGAUGA) and D (CUGA) box motifs. Multiple nearly identical copies of this snoRNA have been identified in Arabidopsis, and it is thought to function as a 2'-O-ribose methylation guide for 18S ribosomal RNA.
Source: Rfam by way of RNAcentral